GUCUUGCUGAGUUGCUGAAGUUGGCUUUGACCUUGUGAUUAAUUGGAGAUGAGAACAUUAUUUUUGCUUUAACUAGAGUUGCCCUUCCUUUGAGACCAUUAGUUUCUUUUCCUUGCAAGUUUUCCUUCUCUGCCUUCCUGCAAAGACAAGACAGAAUAGUGCUUUUGCCCUUCUCUGUGCAGUGUUGCUCUCUGAAGUUUUAUGUCAAUAUUUGCAUUAGGGAGAUUAAGAUGAGAGCCUGACUUUUAAUUAGACUAUUGUUUCAGUUUUAUAGUCUCCUUAAUCCACCCCUUUUUGAGUCUCAGUUAUUGCUUCUUCAGUACUAUGUAACUUAAGAGUGGAAGCAAAAUUGAGAUUCCUGGGGCAGGAUAUGUGAAAAGUCCAGUCUUAAAAGAAAAUUAUUUCAUGUAACACAACAUAAUGUAACAAAAUACUUUGUAAUUCUCAAUUCUCAGCAAUGUACCUGAUGUUACUUAGUUUAUCCAUAAAAUAAAUCGUGUACUAAAUCAUAGUUGAGCAAGAGAAGUAUACCUGCUAAGCACUGUAGAUAAUACUUUGUGUUAAUCCACUUCCUCAGUAUAGCAUAUGAAGUUGGUAGUAUGAAAUCUAUCUUGCAGAUGAGAAAUUGAGGCUGAGAAAGAAAGUCAUUUUUUUGUUUGUUUUGUUUUGUUUUUAACACUUAAAUGUUCACAUUUCUUGUAGCCCUAUCAGUGGUAUAAGUGGAAUUUGGACCUAGGUCAUUUGGGGCUUUUUGGUGUGCGGAUUAAUAGUAAACUACACUAUAAUCACUG
RNAcentral lists this long non-coding RNA (791 nucleotides) under Marmota monax (woodchuck). The record is from RNAcentral. Lineage: Eukaryota; Metazoa; Chordata; Mammalia; Rodentia; Sciuridae.